This is a non-coding RNA of Mycena epipterygia, 89 nucleotides long. NCBI's taxonomy places the organism in Eukaryota, Fungi, Basidiomycota, Agaricomycetes, Agaricales, Mycenaceae. The record is from the annotation of a GenBank genome assembly.
GCGGAUAUGGUGUACGGCGCACCGCGGCCCUAAAUGGGAUCUUCGAGGAGUGGAGGCCGCAGGUCCGGGUUCGACUCCCGGUGUCCGCA